GGUUAACUGGGCGUAAGGGAGCGUAGGCGGACAUUUAAGUCAGGGGUGAAAUCCCGGGGCUCAACCUCGGAAUUGCCUUUGAUACUGGGUGUCUUGAGUAUGAGAGAGGUGUGUGGAACUCCGAGUGUAGAGGUGAAAUUCGUAGAUAUUCGGAAGAACACCAGUGGCGAAGGCGACACACUGGCUCAUUACUGACGCUGAGGCUCGAAAGCGUGGGGAGCAAACAGGAUUAGAUACCCUGGUAGUCCACGCCCUAAACGAUGAAUACUCGAUGUUAGCGAUAUACAGUUAGCGUCUAAGCGAAAGCGUUAAGUAUUCCACCUGGGGAGUACGCCCGCAAGGGUGAAACUCAAAGGAAUUGACGGGGGCCCGCACAAGCGGAGGAGCAUGUGGUUUAAUUCGAUGAUACGCGAGGAACCUUACCCGGGCUUGAAAGUUACUGAAUUAUCUAGAGAUAGAUAAGUCCGCAAGGACAGGAAACUAGGUGCUGCAUGGUUGUCGUCAGCUCGUGCCGUGAGGUGUCGGCUUAAGUGCCAUAACGAGC
RNAcentral lists this ribosomal RNA (544 nucleotides) under uncultured Rhizobium sp. Its description in RNAcentral is "bacterial SSU rRNA". It matches the Rfam family "Bacterial small subunit ribosomal RNA", at positions 547 to 1097 of the family's 1533-position model. Lineage: Bacteria; Pseudomonadati; Pseudomonadota; Alphaproteobacteria; Hyphomicrobiales; Rhizobiaceae. The record is from RNAcentral.